This 481-nucleotide ribosomal RNA is filed under the name uncultured bacterium. Its description in RNAcentral is "partial 16S ribosomal RNA". It matches the Rfam family "Bacterial small subunit ribosomal RNA", at positions 28 to 523 of the family's 1533-position model. The record is from RNAcentral.
GAUGAACGCUGGCGGCGUGCCUAACACAUGCAAGUCGAGCGAUGAAACCGCCUCCGGGCGGACAUGAAGCGGCGAACGGGUGAGUAACACGUGACCGACCUGCCCCCCGCCCAGGGACAGCCCCCCGAAAGGGGGAUUAAUACCUGGUACUCCGGAAGCGGCGCAUGCCGCGUCCGGGAAAGCUUUCGCGGCGGGGGAUGGGGUCGCGGCCCAUCAGGUAGACGGCGGGGCAGAGGCCCACCGUGCCGACGACGGGUAGCCGGGUCGAGAGACCGACCGGCCACAUUGGGACUGAGAUACGGCCCAGACUCCUACGGGAGGCAGCAGCGGGGAAUUUUGCGCAAUGGGGGCAACCCUGACGCAGCAACGCCGCGUGCGGGACGAAGGCGUCCGCGUCGUAAACCGCUUUCAGCGGGGAACACUUCAACGAGGGUACCCGCAGAAGAAGCCCCGGCUAAAUACGUGCCAGCCGCCGCCGUAA